This 329-nucleotide ribosomal RNA is filed under the name uncultured eukaryote. Its description in RNAcentral is "partial 18S ribosomal RNA". It matches the Rfam family "Eukaryotic small subunit ribosomal RNA", at positions 1470 to 1796 of the family's 1831-position model. The record is from RNAcentral.
CCCUUAGAUGUUCUGGGCCGCACGCGCGCUACAAUGAUGAAUUCAACGAGUUUAUAACCUUGGUUGAAAAACCUGGGUAAUCUUUUGAACUUUCGUCGUGAUGGGGCUAGACCCUUGCAAUUAUUGGUCUCCAACGAGGAAUUCCUAGUAAACGCAAGUCAUCAGCUUGCAUUGAUUACGUCCCUGCCCUUUGUACACACCGCCCGUCGCACCUACCGAUUGAAUGGUCCGGUGAAAUCUUCGGAUUGAGACUUUGUUUUCUUCACGGAAAACGCUGUUUUAAAAAGUUGAUUAAACCUUACCAUUUAGAGGAAGGUGAAGUCGUAACA